AUACUUACCUGGCAGGGAGAUACCUGAUCACGAAGGUGGUUUCUCCGGGCGAGGCUUAUCCAUUGCACUCCGGAUGUGCUGACCCCUGCGAUUUCCCCAAAUGUGGGAAACUCGACUGCAUAAUUUGUGGUAGUGGGGGACUGCGUUCGCGCUUUCCCCUG
Molecule: small nuclear RNA, 161 nt
Filed under: Camelus dromedarius (Arabian camel)
Lineage: Eukaryota; Metazoa; Chordata; Mammalia; Artiodactyla; Camelidae
Description: U1 spliceosomal RNA (ENSCDRG00005014989.1)
Rfam family: U1 spliceosomal RNA
About the family: U1 is a small nuclear RNA (snRNA) component of the spliceosome (involved in pre-mRNA splicing).
Source: Rfam by way of RNAcentral